CCUACGGGUGGCAGCAGUGAGGAAUAUUGGUCAAUGGACGAGAGUCUGAACCAGCCAAGUAGCGUGAAGGAUGACUGCCCUAUGGGUUGUAAACUUCUUUUAUAUGGGAAUAAAACGUUCCACGUGUGGGAUUUUGUAUGUACCAUAUGAAUAAGGAUCGGCUAACUCCGUGCCAGCAGCCGCGGUAAUACGGAGGAUCCGAGCGUUAUCCGGAUUUAUUGGGUUUAAAGGGAGCGUAGGUAGAUUGUUAAGUCAGUUGUGAAAGUUUGCGGCUCAAACGUAAAAUUGCAGUUGAAACUGGCAGUCUUGAGUACAGUAGAGGUGGGCGGAAUUCGUGGUGUAGCGGUGAAAUGCUUAGAUAUAACGAAGAACUCCGAUUGCGAAGGCAGUUCACUGGACUGCAACUGACACUGAGGCUCGAAAGUGUGGGUAUCAAACAGGAUUAGAUACCCCUGUAGUC
RNAcentral lists this ribosomal RNA (460 nucleotides) under uncultured bacterium. RNAcentral's name for it is "partial 16S ribosomal RNA". It matches the Rfam family "Bacterial small subunit ribosomal RNA", at positions 338 to 795 of the family's 1533-position model. The record is from RNAcentral.